This 299-nucleotide long non-coding RNA is filed under the name Elaeis guineensis (African oil palm). Its description in RNAcentral is "long non-coding RNA (EGUI_LNC046792)". The record is from RNAcentral. Lineage: Eukaryota; Viridiplantae; Streptophyta; Magnoliopsida; Arecales; Arecaceae.
AACCCUUUUGAUCUUUCUUUCUUGAUUCUUGAAGAAGUCAAGAACUUUUUUUGAUCCCUCAACUAAUCAAGAACAACAAUAAACAAGAAGUGGUUAUAACUAACUUCCAACAACUUGAAAGGAAGAAGAUGAAAUCAGCAACAACUUGGUGCCAACCCUUGACACCAAGGAAGGGAUGCUGCCCACCUCUCUUCCAGCUCCAAGAGGGAUGCCUAGAGAGAGAGGGCAUGGGCUAGAGAGAGAAAGAGGAGGGGAGGCAUUGGGCAUAGUAAGGGUGGUGGCAAGGAUGAGGGGAGGUG